CUGGUAGUGGGGGACAACGUUUCGAAAGGAACGCUAAUACCGCAUACGUCCUACGGGAGAAAGCAGGGGACCUUCGGGCCUUGCGCUAUCAGAUGAGCCUAGGUCGGAUUAGCUAGUUGGUGAGGUAAUGGCUCACCAAGGCGACGAUCCGUAACUGGUCUGAGAGGAUGAUCAGUCACACUGGAACUGAGACACGGUCCAGACUCCUACGGGAGGCAGCAGUG
Molecule: ribosomal RNA, 224 nt
Filed under: uncultured Pseudomonas sp.
Lineage: Bacteria; Pseudomonadati; Pseudomonadota; Gammaproteobacteria; Pseudomonadales; Pseudomonadaceae
Description: partial 16S ribosomal RNA
Rfam family: Bacterial small subunit ribosomal RNA
Source: RNAcentral